AUACGGGGGGUGCAAGCGUUAUUCGGAUUUAUUGGACGUAAAGAGCGCGUAGGCGGCUUGGUAAGUCAGAUGUGAGAGCCCGGGGCUCAACCCCGGAAGUGCAUUUGAAACUAUCAGGCUUGAGUAUGGGAGAGGGAAGUGGAAUUCCUGGUGUAGAGGUGAAAUUCGUAGAUAUCAGGAGGAACACCGGUGGCGAAGGCGACUUCCUGGACCAAUACUGACGCUGAGGCGCGAAGGCGUGGGGAGCAAACAGGAUUAGAAACCCCGGUAGUCC
Molecule: ribosomal RNA, 274 nt
Filed under: uncultured bacterium
Lineage: Bacteria
Description: partial 16S ribosomal RNA
Rfam family: Bacterial small subunit ribosomal RNA
Source: RNAcentral